Non-coding RNA from Heterocephalus glaber (naked mole-rat), 841 nucleotides. Lineage: Eukaryota; Metazoa; Chordata; Mammalia; Rodentia; Bathyergidae. The record is from RefSeq and is a predicted model, not a curated record.
CGUCUGGCCUGGGGCUGCAUCUGUCUGGAGGAAAAGGGCACCUUUCUAGAAUUUGCAGAGGUGUGCUUCCAGUAUCCACAGCCCAUUUACCUGUCCAUCAGCCACCACCUUCCCAUCCAGGCCCCACAAGUUCAUCCUUCCGACUGUCCAUCCACCCAUGAAGAGAUGUGAAGGUCAAACACAGACUGGUCCCCCACCUGCGCCCUCUCCGGCUCCUUCCUCCUCCACCUUCUCAUCCAGCCGGCUGGGGAUGGACCAGUAGAGAUGGGCAUCAAGGCGGGCUGCAGCCUCUGCCAGCUCCCUGGCGCUGCAUGAAGGUGUGGGCACCUCAAAGGUCUCAUGGAAGCUGGCAUAGUCCACCUCGUAGAAGCCAUCCUCCAGGGUCAGCACUGAUGUAAAGCGGUGGCCCCACAGCACCUCAUCCACCAAGUAGGAGCUCCGAGCUUGGCAUGUCAUCCCUGGGGGUGAGGGGCAUAGGUCAGUGGGAUCCCAGCCCCAGGGGUCCUUCUCCUGCCUCUCCUCCCAAAACCUGGUUCCCAGCACCCUUCCAUCCACCCCUCCCUAAGGGCCCCCACUGUCCUUUGGUCCAGCCCUUUCUUGCCCAUCCUCACUCAGUUCCCUCAUCUCUUUUCCACUUGCCAGUCCACACUUCCUCCUCUCUCUGGUGUUGCCAAUCAGAGAAGCUUAACCUUGAAACAUCACCUUAAGGAUCAUGUGGUCUAACUUCCCACUCCACACAGGGCUCCCCACUGGAGCAUUCCCAACAGUGGGCAUCUAGCUUGUAUUUGGUUACCUCCCAGGAUGGAGAGCUCACCACCUCAUAAAGGGCCCACUCCUUUGA